CCCGUCUUCUGCGUCGCUCAGGCUGGGAGCUGUAGACCGGAGCUGUUCCUAUUCGGCCAUCUUGGCUCCUCCUCUCGUGAACUGUCUCUACCUGUGGGGAUGGACAGCAGCAUCUAGCCUAGAGGAACCCUCUGAGGUUUGAUCAAUGAGAGACAUCAGCAGGAGAGAAGGGGACAGGAAAAGAAGGAGGUAGGGGUUUAUUCUUCUCCGGUCCACUGCAGAUUGGCGGUGUUCCUCCUCAUCGGCCACAGCUCUGGGGUUGGGUAGCUGCUCCCUCCUUGCCCUUUCAGGCCUAGGAUUGGUACCAGUUCCCUGCCCUUACUGACCCUAGGAUACUGAACUAUCCCUUUUUGUUUUCCCCAAACUCAGUCCACACCUUUGUAGAUGAGAUUCCUUAUUAAAUUCUUGUCAAAUUGUCCAGUCUGUGGGUGUCAUCUGCUUACUGUUGUACCUCAACUGAUAAAGGCAUGCAAUGUUUUACACCUGACAUGGUUUGGAUCUGUGUCCCCACCCAAAUCUCAUGUUGAAAUAUAAUCCCCAAUGCUGGAAGUGGACCGUGGUGGGAGGUGAUUGGAUCAUGGGGAAUGGUUUAGCACCAUCCCCUUGGUGCUGUCUUGUGACAGAGUUCUCACAAGGUCUAGUUGUUUAAAAGUGUGUAGCACCCUGCCCCCUUGGCCUUGCUCCUGCCAUGUAAGACACCUGCUCCCACUUUGCCUUCUGCUACGAGUACAAGCUCCCUGAGGCCUCCCCAGAAGCAGAUGCCACCAUGCUUCCUGUACAGCCUGUGGAACCGUGAGCCAAUUAAAA
RNAcentral lists this long non-coding RNA (807 nucleotides) under Homo sapiens (human). RNAcentral's name for it is "HSALNT0340170". Lineage: Eukaryota; Metazoa; Chordata; Mammalia; Primates; Hominidae. The record is from RNAcentral.